This is a long non-coding RNA of Larimichthys crocea (large yellow croaker), 1509 nucleotides long. RefSeq lists it as uncharacterized. The record is from RefSeq and is a predicted model, not a curated record. The transcript is spliced from 5 exons. Lineage: Eukaryota; Metazoa; Chordata; Actinopteri; Sciaenidae.
UGUCAAUGAGUUCCAGGUGUUCUCACCUUCAGCAGAGACUGUUUGUGUCCGCAGACCUUACACGUCCACCUGCUCACCUUCUUUACCUGACAGACACAGCACAGCUGCUUCACCCAACACCAGCAGGAGAACGCCCCGGUUGGAUUCGGCUUCUUCUUUUAUCAUCCACAGGUGUGAGGACAUCUGGAGCUGUCACCGUCACAUAAGUUUAGAAAGACAAAGAUGAACAUCAACAAUGAUAUAACAGUACCACAGUAGCAGAGGGGGUCUGUUUCCAGAACCAGAACCAGGAGCCGGUUGUGUUUUCUCUUCUGCGGUUUCAUACUGAAGUCAUGCAGCAAGGCUCAUCUGUCCUGAAUUAACAGCCGCUGUCAUUCAUCUCUACAAAAACAGACUAUAACAGACUGGAGACACCAACCUGCAGCUGAAACUGGAUCUUUAUGAACCAAAGACCACUCAAAACGCUUUCAUCAUAUACUGAUGACAUUAGCUGUCAUGCAAGGUGCCAACUGCUCAUCAGUUUUAGGAGCUAACCAUUCAUACACAUUUGAACACUGAUGGUGAGGCCUUCGGGAGCAGUUUGGGGUUCAGUAUCUUCAACUGGAGGAGUCAGGGAUCAAACCGCCAAUCAUCUGAUUAGUGGACGACCUGCUCUGCCUCCUGAGCCACAACCUACUAAAGUGUAUUAACACAGAGAAGAUCAUAUUCUCGGUGUUUGAAGUAAAGGAGACUUAAGGUUCACUCUGUGAGGCUUUCACAGCGUCACAUUAAACGCAGCAAAAAGGAGCUCUGUUUCAGUUGGACCCGGGUUCUGUUGACCUCACCUGGACCACAUUAAUAUUUCAGAGCUCUGAUCCUCCUUCAGCAGCAGUGAGGAAACGUGCAUGCAGGAAACGUGCACGCAGGAAACGUGCACAGAUUACAGAUGAUUUAAAUUGACGCUUUGCAAACCAGCAGAGAGUUGAACCCAGACUGAACCCUGAGCCCUCUGAACGGGCCAUUAUUCAGAACUACACACACACUUUUCAUUUUUUUCAGCUUUAUUUUACAAAACAGUAAAAACUUCAUCAGGUCACUCUAUGUUUGAAUUCUUCUGUUCGGGGGUUCAAACCUGCGACAUGCUGCAGGACAACAACAAAAACACUGCAAAAAUUUGACAUGUGAAAGUUCAAAAAAGUGACUUUUGGUCAAAGCUAGUUUUUUUUACCAGUACACAGAAAUAAAAACAGUCUGGUAAUUUUUUUUUUUUUUUUUUUAAAGAUUUCUUCUUCUGUCGACAAACUGACGUCUGACAAAGAAGAGAAAUCCUCCUCAGAACCUCACACUUCGAUUCAUCUCAUUUGUUCCUAUUUGGUGUUGGCCCACCUUGUCUCCUUCACUUAGUGGUUUCCUACAUUUCCCACAAUGCCAUGUUUAAUUUUUAUACAUUCCCAUGACUCUAACAGGUGGUUGAACUAGUUACUGUUAAAUGUUAAAUUCUUGUUUUAUUAAACACACAAACUUUUAACU